GGGGCUGUAGCUCAGCUGGUAGAGCGCUUGCAUGGCAUGCAAGAGGUCCAGGGUUCGAAUCCCUGUAGCUCCACCA
Molecule: transfer RNA, 76 nt
Filed under: bacterium
Lineage: Bacteria
Description: tRNA-Ala
Rfam family: tRNA
About the family: Transfer RNA (tRNA) molecules are approximately 80 nucleotides in length. Their secondary structure includes four short double-helical elements and three loops (D, anti-codon, and T loops).
Source: RNAcentral